This 254-nucleotide ribosomal RNA is filed under the name uncultured bacterium. RNAcentral describes it as "partial 16S ribosomal RNA". It matches the Rfam family "Bacterial small subunit ribosomal RNA", at positions 524 to 776 of the family's 1533-position model. The record is from RNAcentral.
UACGGAGGGUGCAAGCGUUGCUCGGAAUUACUGGGCGUAAAGGGUGUGUAGGCGGAUACUUAAGUCGGGGGUGAAAGCCCAGGGCUCAACCCUGGAAUAGCCUUCGAUACUGGGUAUCUUGAGUUCGGGGAGAGGUAAGUGGAACUCCGAGUGUAGAGGUGAAAUUCGUAGAUAUUCGGAAGAACACCAGUGGCGAAGGCGACUUACUGGCCCGAUACUGACGCUGAAACACGAAAGCGUGGGGAGCAAACAGG